GACAGAAGGAGAAGCAAGCUCCUCCCAGGGAGCCCGAUGCAAGACUUGAUCCCUGGACUGGGAUCAUGCCCUGAGCCAAAGGCAGAUGCUAAACCACUGAGCCACCCGGGCAUCCCUAUAUAUCUGUUUUUGUGCAGAAGGAGAAACUGAGGAUUGGAGAGUGUGUCUUGCUCAAGAUCACUGAGCUGCAGCUGUGAAUACAUUUCUUGUUUGUGGCCAUGACUUCUAUAUUCAGUACUUCCAAAGAUCCUCCCAGUUGCUGAGGACCAUUCUACACUCCUGCAUUAAUAGCCCUCAGGCUGACCUGGGUCUGUGGCUGUUUUCCUGGCCAGUGCCUGUGAUUUGAAUGAUUGGCAAGCUCUGUAACUGAGUUCUUGGGAAAACAAAUGAUCUCAUAGAUGGAGCUGCUCCACGUUAGGAAGUGCAAGAAUUAUGAAAUGCAGUCACAGCAAGGGAAAGAAGUUCUUUUGCAUUUGGAUGGCGACCUUUUGUUUCUAAGGUUUUUGGCAGCACCUCUAAUCAUGUGAUAUGCUUGAGGCUACCAGGAAUGAAUGAGAGCUCUUGUUGUUCCAUAUCCCUGCCAGUAUUUGCUGUUGUCAGUGCUCUGGAUUUUGGCCAUUUUAAUAGAAGACACACUGAAUGUUUGAUCUCUGCUUCAUCUUGUUGCCAAAGUCCAUUACUGAGCAGGCAGGAUGGCAUUGUUUGAAGUCUACAAAACAGCCAGCAGAAGACAGAAAGACUGGCUUUUAAUUGCUGGAAAGCAAGAGAAAAAACUUCGGGUCAUCUGGGUACACAGACUGGGAAUUCCAACAUGCCUCAGUAUCAGGCAAAAUGUAAGGGCUUCAAUUUGGCUCAUUCAGGGUUAGUGCAGAUUAUCUUUGACAUUUACUGGAUGGGGAUGUUUUUGCCACAGGAAUGAAGUGUUUUCCAGUUUAUUUUAAACUGAGAACUCUCAAUUCACUGUGAUAGUUGGUUUGGCAGAGUUAGUUGCCUUUAAAAACUCCUCCAUCUUGAAUGAAACUUAAAAUGACUCUGAGCCCGGGCGAAGAAGGAAAACUUGAUGAAGUAACCCCUGGGCACUGCUGCCCUAUGAGUCAUAACUGAGGAAAAGCAUCAAGGGCUUUUGUCACUUCAUGUCUCAAAGACGUUGGAUGAUGUGGGGAAUGGACUCCAAGCGGUCAUCUGGUCACACCCAUGGCUUACUCCCUGACUUGUGGACUGCUUCUCAUGUUACUUAACUAAGGCUACAGAGAAACUGCUUCAGUAUAUACCACCCUCAGCACCUGCAUGAUCUGUAUACACAUAUGUAUGUUGGAAAGGACAAUGAACCAAAAGAAUAAAGAUAAAAUUAGGUAUUUUUACUAAAGGUUAGAAGAUUUUAAAACAAAGAAAGAAAGUAGUGUAACUCAAAUGAAUUGCCAGGGGAAAGGCCAAGUUCAUGAAAGAAACAUAUCAUGGUUUCGCCUGCAUUUCUUUUUGCCUCUGGACAUGUAAGUAUGAGUUAAUAAGCUUAUAAUGUGCACUAUAGAAUAUCAGGCUCUUUUCAAAGACUUGUUAUCUAAAGUGCUUACAUUAUUGGAUUCAGUUAUAUGUAUGCUUAUUUCCUGAUGACAAAUCUGGACCCAGAGAAUAUUUCCAAUUACAUCUAUUGUUUCAUUAUGAAUAUCAUAAUAAUAAUUUUUCUAUGAUUUAUUCUCUAGAAUACUGGCAAUAAAAAGACACUAAUUCUUAGAUUAUUAUGUUACCCUUCCCUAUCAAGAAAACUUUCAUAACACAAAUUAAGAGCAGCAUCAAAAAAAACAGGUCUCAUAUCUAGCAUUUUGGUCCUCUGAAAUGAGAUAAUUUUUUAGAACACAAUAGACACUUAAGUUUAGGUCCCUGUGGGAUUGAAUUUGAUUUUGAUCUUCAAAUCAAGCAUUAAAUAUUUUGCUAAUUGAUCAAAAUUACAUGUAAUCUAUAUAUAAACUAGAGAAAGAUCUGUUUUCUUUUUAAAACACAGCUUACCCCGCUGUUGGACAAGAGUUUCUAACCUAAGGCUGCAAAUUCCUUGAAAUGUGCAAACGUGUGUGUGUGUGUAUGUGUGUGUGUGUGUGUGUGUGUGUGUGUGAAAGAGAGAGGGAGAGGUAUUGUAUGUUGAUAUAAUUUUUUUUUCCUGGGGCAAGGUGUAUAGUUUUCAUCAAUUCUCGAAAAGGUCCAUGAUUAAGGAUCCUUACCCAAAUGUGAGGAUACAUUUUUAGAUAAGUGAUUUGGUUAUGAGCAUUUUUCUGCAGAUUGAAGCUGGUUGUGUCAUAUUUCUGAUAAUCUUUUUAAAAACAUUUAUCAUCAACAAUCUUAAUGUUUGAGAUGUUAAAAUGUAACAUUCUGGUAGUGUUUGGAAAAGAAGUGCCCAAAGACAGCUUUUGGGAGCUCCACAGGAUUUUACAAUAUUCUGAAACUAUGGUCUGUUUUCCUGAGGCAUUAAUAACCAAAAUAUGUGGCCCUAUUUGACUUGACAUCUUAGACUUAAAACUCACUUGUUUGAUUUUACUUUGCCAUUUGCCACGUGUUCAUAUUCAUAGCUCUCCGAUAGUAUCUAAAAUUAUGAAAUUCAAUUUUGAGGUGAUUGGAAUUUUGGAGAGCAUUCAAAUAAAUUCCCUCCCUCCCUCCAUCCCCUCUUUCCUUCCUUCCUUCUUGUUGUUUUAUUCUUUGUACUUUUUUCAGUACUCUAAAAACUGAAUGUGUUUUGCAAAGCUGUGCAAUAUUAUAAAUAAUAGUAACAAAACA
Long non-coding RNA from Nyctereutes procyonoides (raccoon dog), 2763 nucleotides. RefSeq lists it as uncharacterized. The transcript has 8 exons. The record is from RefSeq and is a predicted model, not a curated record. NCBI's taxonomy places the organism in Eukaryota, Metazoa, Chordata, Mammalia, Carnivora, Canidae.